Non-coding RNA from Reichenbachiella agariperforans, 35 nucleotides. The record is from Rfam. Lineage: Bacteria; Pseudomonadati; Bacteroidota; Cytophagia; Cytophagales; Reichenbachiellaceae.
CUGGCGGACACCGAAAAGCCUUAAUAGAGUAGGUG